RNAcentral lists this long non-coding RNA (472 nucleotides) under Mus musculus (house mouse). Its description in RNAcentral is "RIKEN cDNA E230032D23 gene (E230032D23Rik)". Lineage: Eukaryota; Metazoa; Chordata; Mammalia; Rodentia; Muridae. The record is from RNAcentral.
GUUAGUGUUUUGAAAGUUUACAGAGAAGUUCUUCAAAAUCUCUCAGGGCUCCACUGGCACUAAGCAGCAGCAAAAGGCACUUCAGCGUCAAGAAGUCUGAAAGCUGAGGCAGCUUAAGCGAUGCGUGCAUGCAUUGACCAAUGAACUAGACCAGGACUGUGGGUCAGCCAUAAAGAGGAAGGAGAGCCUCAUAUACGUUAGGCGUCCCUACAGAGCCCUAGGCCACAAGGAGCUGGAUGGUCUCAAAAGGACAAAGAGCUUAUGCAUCUACUUCUGAGAACCCUAGAGUCUCAGGCCUACUGAAGCAGAAAGCAGAAUGAAACACCUAGACUGGAGAGGGACGGACAGUGAGUUCUCUCAAGAUAGUCCCGGCUGUCUUGGAGCUCACUACCUAGACUGAACUGGCUUUGAAUUCAUGAAUAUUCUCCUGCCUCUGAGUGUUGGAAUUAAAGGCAUGGACUACUACAUCCAA